This is a long non-coding RNA of Ochlerotatus camptorhynchus, 832 nucleotides long. RefSeq lists it as uncharacterized. The transcript is spliced from 2 exons. The record is from RefSeq and is a predicted model, not a curated record. NCBI's taxonomy places the organism in Eukaryota, Metazoa, Arthropoda, Insecta, Diptera, Culicidae.
CAUCUAAUCUACCCUUACCACCAUCCAAGGACGUGCGUCGUUAACCAAGAUCAAGAUCCGAAGAUAAAGAAAGCUUCUUUCAAAUUCAGGUGUAUGAGAAAUUUUCAGUUGUCAAACUCCGGAAUCUAUCAUUGCUAAAAUCCAAUUUAUUGUAUGUGUACCAAGAAACCGAACCAACAAUCAUCAACAAGUUGAAUAAAAACUUAAAGGCAACAAAACAAAACUAGACACAAGAACUAUUAAAAUAACCAAAACCUUUAUCAUCCUUGAAGAAAAAUCCUACUUUUUUUUUCUAUUUUUACCUUUUUUAUCCUUACUCCACACAUAUAUGAAUGUAGAAUCGUUUAGUGCUAGUUAGUGUCAGUUAACACAGUUAAAAUUAUUCUUAUCAUUGGCGGCCGAGAUCACUGUUUCGGGGCCUCACCUCGCGGGCCGGUACGAUCGUUCUCGCGAGGUGAGGGCCCGAAACAGUGAGAUGUCAGCAAUACGAGUAUGUAUGCGAUUGAGCGAGCCACAGCGUGAGAACAGAAACUAGCAUUAGAAAAAAAAAACUAUCUUUAAGAUUUAACCUCCAACCGCAGUCGCAGAGAAACAAAAACAAGCAUUGAUUCGCGCAAAGAACGAGAGCUAGCGAGUAUUAUCUCCAUCGGUGGACUCGAAGGACACUCGAAGGAUUGGAGGAACUCAGGGCAAGCAAAUAACGAAAAUAGCCCGCGAACUCUACUCUUUCGUUUUGAAAAUCUAAAAUCUUUAAGCUUUUCGGUUGUAAAUUUUUAUUUAAUAUAAAUGGAAAAUGUGAAAUCAACAGCUUGUAAUAAAUCAGUAUAGCCUA